RNAcentral lists this ribosomal RNA (1372 nucleotides) under Staphylococcus aureus. RNAcentral describes it as "bacterial LSU rRNA". It matches the Rfam family "Bacterial large subunit ribosomal RNA", at positions 1467 to 2838 of the family's 2925-position model. Lineage: Bacteria; Bacillati; Bacillota; Bacilli; Caryophanales; Staphylococcaceae. The record is from RNAcentral.
GGGGGACGCAGUAGGAUAGGCGAAGCGUGCGAUUGGAUUGCACGUCUAAGCAGUAAGGCUGAGUAUUAGGCAAAUCCGGUACUCGUUAAGGCUGAGCUGUGAUGGGGAGAAGACAUUGUGUCUUCGAGUCGUUGAUUUCACACUGCCGAGAAAAGCCUCUAGAUAGAAAAUAGGUGCCCGUACCGCAAACCGACACAGGUAGUCAAGAUGAGAAUUCUAAGGUGAGCGAGCGAACUCUCGUUAAGGAACUCGGCAAAAUGACCCCGUAACUUCGGGAGAAGGGGUGCUCUUUAGGGUUAACGCCCAGAAGAGCCGCAGUGAAUAGGCCCAAGCGACUGUUUAUCAAAAACACAGGUCUCUGCUAAACCGUAAGGUGAUGUAUAGGGGCUGACGCCUGCCCGGUGCUGGAAGGUUAAGAGGAGUGGUUAGCUUCUGCGAAGCUACGAAUCGAAGCCCCAGUAAACGGCGGCCGUAACUAUAACGGUCCUAAGGUAGCGAAAUUCCUUGUCGGGUAAGUUCCGACCCGCACGAAAGGCGUAACGAUUUGGGCACUGUCUCAACGAGAGACUCGGUGAAAUCAUAGUACCUGUGAAGAUGCAGGUUACCCGCGACAGGACGGAAAGACCCCGUGGAGCUUUACUGUAGCCUGAUAUUGAAAUUCGGCACAGCUUGUACAGGAUAGGUAGGAGCCUUUGAAACGUGAGCGCUAGCUUACGUGGAGGCGCUGGUGGGAUACUACCCUAGCUGUGUUGGCUUUCUAACCCGCACCACUUAUCGUGGUGGGAGACAGUGUCAGGCGGGCAGUUUGACUGGGGCGGUCGCCUCCUAAAAGGUAACGGAGGCGCUCAAAGGUUCCCUCAGAAUGGUUGGAAAUCAUUCAUAGAGUGUAAAGGCAUAAGGGAGCUUGACUGCGAGACCUACAAGUCGAGCAGGGUCGAAAGACGGACUUAGUGAUCCGGUGGUUCCGCAUGGAAGGGCCAUCGCUCAACGGAUAAAAGCUACCCCGGGGAUAACAGGCUUAUCUCCCCCAAGAGUUCACAUCGACGGGGAGGUUUGGCACCUCGAUGUCGGCUCAUCGCAUCCUGGGGCUGUAGUCGGUCCCAAGGGUUGGGCUGUUCGCCCAUUAAAGCGGUACGCGAGCUGGGUUCAGAACGUCGUGAGACAGUUCGGUCCCUAUCCGUCGUGGGCGUAGGAAAUUUGAGAGGAGCUGUCCUUAGUACGAGAGGACCGGGAUGGACAUACCUCUGGUGUACCAGUUGUCGUGCCAACGGCAUAGCUGGGUAGCUAUGUGUGGACGGGAUAAGUGCUGAAAGCAUCUAAGCAUGAAGCCCCCCUCAAGAUGAGAUUUCCCAACUUCGGUUAUAAGAUCCCU